This 523-nucleotide ribosomal RNA is filed under the name Corynebacterium diphtheriae bv. mitis. RNAcentral describes it as "partial 23S ribosomal RNA". It matches the Rfam family "Bacterial large subunit ribosomal RNA", at positions 230 to 708 of the family's 2925-position model. Lineage: Bacteria; Bacillati; Actinomycetota; Actinomycetes; Mycobacteriales; Corynebacteriaceae. The record is from RNAcentral.
AAUGAUUCUGCUAGUAGUGGCGAACGAACGUGGAUGAGGCUAAACCGUAUGCGUGUGAUACCUGGCAGGGGUUGCGUGUGUGGUGUUGUGGGGCGUUGUUGGAGGAGGCUGCCGGCUCCUCGCUUGUGAUGUGUGUGUUAGCGGAAGUGGUUUGGAAUGGCCUGCCGUAGUGGGUGAGAGUCCCGUACGUGAAAACAUGUGCAUGCGAGUGGAUGAUGUUCCCGAGUAGCAGCGGGCUCGUGGAAUCUGCUGUGAAUCUGCCGGGACCACCCGGUAAGCCUAAAUACUUAUGAUGACCGAUAGCGGAUAGUACCGUGAGGGAAUGGUGAAAAGUACCCCGGGAGGGGAGUGAAAUAGUACCUGAAACCGUGUGCUUACAAUCCGUCAGAGCCUCUUUUUGUUAGGUGAUGGCGUGCCUUUUGAAGAAUGAGCCUGCGAGUCAGCGGCAUGUCGCGAGGUUAACCCGUGUGGGGUAGUCGUAGCGAAAGCGAAUCCUAAUGAGGGUGUUUGUUAGUGGCAUGUC